This 433-nucleotide long non-coding RNA is filed under the name Physcomitrium patens. Its description in RNAcentral is "long non-coding RNA (PPAT_LNC007370)". Lineage: Eukaryota; Viridiplantae; Streptophyta; Bryopsida; Funariales; Funariaceae. The record is from RNAcentral.
AUCUCUAUUUCCAAUAUCUGAAUACACAAGGAAACUAUAAUCUCUUCCUUCACCUUAUCGGUCUCUUCCUUACAGCAAUUCAAUCAUACCAAUAACUGCUAUUUCCACCAAUAUAUUCACCCUCAUAAUCUCCAACUAUAAUAUUGCACCUUCACAGCUUUUAGCGCACAAUUAUCCUCAUUCCAAUCACUGGAAUUCUUCACACAGAACUGCCAUUCAUAUUACGGUGUUUCACAUAAACACAGACUCAUUUUCUCAGCUAAAUUACAAUUAGAUUUUAGCAUUCAAUCUUUCUUCUUCUCAAAUAAUACCAAUCACAUUUCCAUUCCAUAAUUCACUUCACAAUAUUCAGAAACUCUCAAUCCUCUUAUUCAAAGAAAAUAACAAACAAAAGAAAAGAGGUAGUACCAAGCUUACUCCGGCUCACAACUAU